Molecule: ribosomal RNA, 439 nt
Filed under: uncultured bacterium
Lineage: Bacteria
Description: partial 16S ribosomal RNA
Rfam family: Bacterial small subunit ribosomal RNA
Source: RNAcentral
CUACGGGUGGCUCCAGUGGGGAAUCUUAGACAAUGGGGGAAACCCUGAUCUAGCCAUGCCGCGUGAUCGAUGAAGGCCUUAGGGUUGUAAAGAUCUUUCAGGUGGGAAGAUAAUGACUGUACCACCAGAAGAAGCCCCGGCUAACUCCGUGCCAGCAGCCGCGGUAAUACGGAGGGGGCUAGCGUUAUUCGAAAUUACUGGGCGUAAAGCGCACGUAGGCGGACCAGAAAGUCAGAGGUGAAAGCCCGGGGCUCAACCCCGGAACUGCCUUUGAAACUCCUGGUCUUGAGGUCGAGAGAGGUGAGUGGAAUUCCGAGUGUAGAGGUGAAAUUCGUAGAUAUUCGGAGGAACACCAGUGGCGAAGGCGGCUCACUGGCUCGAUACUGACGCUGAGGUGCGAAAGCGUGGGGAGCAAACAGGAUUAGAUACCCCCGUAGUC